Pelobates cultripes (western spadefoot toad) is the source of this 362-nucleotide non-coding RNA. Lineage: Eukaryota; Metazoa; Chordata; Amphibia; Anura; Pelobatidae. The record is from the annotation of a GenBank genome assembly.
AAUUGUGUCAUACAAACUUAGCACAUCUAUUUUUAUAUGAUCUAAAUCACACCCUUUCUGCAUGUUCUACCUUAUUAAAUCUUCUUUGUUUCUCCCCAAAGCAUUCCCUUUAAAUCACAACAGCACGUUUUCCAAUCCUAUUCAACGGUCACAAUCAUGUCCAUAAAGGUAAACUCGUUCUUUAUGACCAUGCACAUUACUCGGAUUUAUGUUAUCGUCACGUCACCCAAUAAUCUCUCUACUUGAUCAGCAACAUGUUGAAAGCAAACAGUUUGGUUCUACUACAGAAACAGCACCCAACGUACCCAAUAUUUAAAAUAUUAGAUAUUGUACUGAUAAAUAGCCCAGUAAUAUUGGACGGU